This 211-nucleotide ribosomal RNA is filed under the name Geobacillus stearothermophilus. RNAcentral describes it as "partial 16S ribosomal RNA". It matches the Rfam family "Bacterial small subunit ribosomal RNA", at positions 1334 to 1533 of the family's 1533-position model. Lineage: Bacteria; Bacillati; Bacillota; Bacilli; Caryophanales; Anoxybacillaceae. The record is from RNAcentral.
GCUAGUAAUCGCGGAUCAGCAUGCCGCGGUGAAUACGUUCCCGGGCCUUGUACACACCGCCCGUCACACCACGAGAGCUUGCAACACCCGAAGUCGGUGAGGUAACCCGCAAGGGAGCCAGCCGCCGAAGGUGGGGCAAGUGAUUGGGGUGAAGUCGUAACAAGGUAGCCGUACCGGAAGGUGCGGCUGGAUCACCUCCUUUCUAAGGGGA